This 915-nucleotide ribosomal RNA is filed under the name uncultured marine archaeon. RNAcentral's name for it is "bacterial SSU rRNA". It matches the Rfam family "Archaeal small subunit ribosomal RNA", at positions 1 to 921 of the family's 1478-position model. The record is from RNAcentral.
UUCCGGUUGAUCCUGCCGGAGGCUACCGCUAUUGGAGUUCGAUUAAGCCAUGCGAGUCGCGAGAAAUUAGAUUCUCGGCGUACCGCUCAGUAACACGUGGGUAACCUGCCCUAUGCUGGAUAAUAACCUCGGGAAACUGAGAAUAAUGAUCCAUAGUUCACUACGCCUGGAACGGUGAGUGGAUGAAAGCUCCGGCGGCAUAGGAUGGGCCUGCGGCGUAUCAGGUUGUAGGGGGUGUAACGUACCCUCUAGCCCUCUACGCGUACGGGUGUUGGGAGACAUAGCCCGGAGAUGGAUUCUGAGACACGAAUCCAGACCCUACGGGGUGCAGCAGGCGCGAAAACUUGGCAAUGCGAGAAAUCGUGACCAGGGAACUCCAAGUGCAUGGGGUAAGACCCAUGCUUUUCUUGACUCUAAAUAGGUCUUGGAAUAAGGGGUGGGUAAGGACGGUGCCAGCCGCCGCGGUAAUACCGGCGCCUCAAGUGGUAGUCGCUUUUAUUGGGCCUAAAACGUCCGUAGCCGGUCUGAUACAUUCGUGGGUAAAUCAACCAGCUUAACUGGUUGAAUUCUGCGAGGACGGUCAGACUUGGGACCGGGAGAGGUGUGGGGUACGCUCAGGGUAGGGGUAAAAUCCUGUCAUCCUGAGCGGACCACCUGUUGCGAAGGCGCCACACUAGAACGGAUCCGACGGUCAGGGACGAAGCCUAGGGGCACGAACCGGAUUAGAUACCCGGGUAGUCCUAGGUGUAAACGCUGUGGACUUGAUGUUGGGGGUGCUCCGAGCACUCUCAGUGUCGAAGCGAAGGCGAUAAGUCCACUGCCUGGGAAGUACGGUCGCAAGGCUGAAACUUAAAGGAAUUGGCGGGGGAGCACCGCAACCUGAGGAUUGUGCGGUUUAAUUGGAUUCAACGCCGG